CACACACUACAAGUAAUAAAGGUUGGUGGAAGCCAGCAUGUCAGUGGAAGAGUCUGAGUGGUAGUUUUGAGAAAGACCAGAGUCAGAAUGUACCUCAGUACGGCAAUCUGCGGCUGUUUCAGGAAAACACAGAGUGGCCUGCGGAGUGAAUCAACCCAUGAAACAUAAGUAGCAACAACAACAGUGACAUUGGGUGAACUCUAUAAGAUCAUCCACGAUGGCUUUGCACCUGGAAUGAGUCUGAGGCUUGCUCAUAAUGCAGCAUAAAAGCCUGUGAUUACUAUGUUUGGAGGUGUGCAGUUACAAAACAAGGAAACCUUGAAUGCUGGGAGACACUGGGACUCUGGAAGUGGACUUAAGGAACCUAAAGAUGAGUGACACCACACUAACUGAGCUACAGUAUAAUCACCAGUGUUAGCAACAUACAGCUGACGUAUGUAUAAUGUCCAAAUAGAUUUGUAUUCAUAUGGUUAGUGACAGUAAGUCAGUAAUGCUGAAGUGAACUGUUGAAGCAUGACCCCCUUGGCCUCUUGGUUAUUCUAGUCGGCACAUUUACAUUCAAAUAAAUAAGACUCAGAGUUCAGAGAGAUGGCUUUGCUGUUGUUGAUGCUGCUGCCUUUUUUCCCCUCUAGAGGCAAAAACCUUGAUAAUUGGUCAUAAGGGAGAGAGUUGACCUUUGCUAAGGCAAAUGACUUUGCAGGUCCCUGUGCAACUCGACACAAUGUCCGAUGCCAUCUGCUGUGUUUAUCCCUGUGUGUGUGUUUGUGUGUGUGUGUGUGUGUAAACAUUCAGCAAAUUAGGAGCAGUAUACAUGUCAGCAGUUAUAUUGCCACUAGACCGCUAAAAUGGUUCUCUAAGGCCCCAAAGCACAGAACGUCAAGAGUGAUGGAGUGGAUAAGUGGGCCAGAAGGUCUACUGAGUGCAACAGAUCAAGCUGACCAAGAACUUCACUAAUUGAGCCACAGUGGAAACAGGAG
This is a long non-coding RNA of Pygocentrus nattereri (red-bellied piranha), 977 nucleotides long. NCBI's taxonomy places the organism in Eukaryota, Metazoa, Chordata, Actinopteri, Characiformes, Serrasalmidae. The record is from Ensembl.